CAGGCAGAAGAUCAUGUAGGAAUUUCAAGUGAUAUUUUACAAUGGUUCACUACAGGAUAUUCUAAGCCUUGGUUUACAUAGCAUGCUCCUUUAUAUAGUAUUCUUUAUUCUUGGGAUCCCAGCGAGAGGAGAUAUUGUAUUGAUAUAGAUAAUAAUCUCUGCUUCCUUCCUAUGUGGCCAGGCAGGAAGAGAAUAAAUAAAAAUAAGAUCUAACUCAAAGGAGAAGUAGGAAAGAAAGUUUAGAAGAGUAAAGGCCAACAUAAAAAAGAAAUGUGAAGUAGUGGAUAUUUUGAGUAGGAUAAGCUUACACUAUGGAUCUCCUAAAAGAUCAAUACAAGUUGAAAACAUGUCUAAAUGUUUUAACUGAAUUACUAAUUUUAUGGCUUUUGCAAGGAGAUAUCUACACAUCUUACAAAAUAUCCAGGGGUCUUCUUGUAUUCAUUUAUCAUUUACUCUUAAUUAUAUAAUUAGUGGUUGCCUUAUUCAUUAUGCACUUGUGAGGCAUAUGCCAGAGACUGGGCAUUUAAAAGCUAUAAAAAAGCAGAGCUCCUGCAUAUGUGCUGCUUAACAUUUGGUUGGAGGGUCCAGAUAUAUACAAUGACAUGUUUCAGUUAGGAUGAAAUAGGAGGGGUGUAGAGGGAAAAACAGCAAAAUUUCUAUUGCUGUUUUUAAAGAAAACUGCCUCCUGGAGAGGGUUGAUUCUACUAAAUGGGGUACUUCAGUAAGAUGAGCACUAGAAAGAGAUUGGCCAUGAGAGUUUGAGGGUAAAGCUACAAAAAGCUGAACUGCAAUAGUUCACAGAAGAAAAUACUUUGAGAUUCUUAGUUUUAUCCCCUUUGGGGGGAAGUAGGUGAAGAUGAGGAAUAGAAAGGGAGAAGGGAGGAGUCAGUGAGAAAAAGAGGGGCUGGUGUUGGGCCAUGAAAGGCCACAAGAUGCUCACUAUGUCAUUUUGAAAUUGUUUGGAUUCUUAUGACUGAAACCCCUCUUUCUCUGAUCUUCCUUCCCGUCAUGCUGUCUGCAGUAAGCGUGACUCUUCUCAGGAGUGCUGUGUGCAGUGGAGUAGUUUAUUGUUAUCUGUAUGUGUGUGACUACCAAAGAAGGAGCUAAGUUUCAUAUGAUGGGUCCCAGAGAGAGCACCUGGAGAGGAGGAGACUGAGGAGACCUGAGAACCCAAGGGUCAGAGGUGCUCAUAGAAAUCUUAGAGGACCACAGGCCAUGGAAUUUUACCUGGCUCUUGGUGGGGGAAAAAGCCACAGCUGACAUCUAGUUUCCACAAACAAAAAGGGAGACAACCCACAUAAUUGCGGUGUGUAUGUUUGGAGGCGGUUAGGUAGCUAAAGGGAAAUUUUAAUCCAAAUUUUUAGAAGAAAUGGUGUUUUAGGAUUGGUUGUAAGAUAGCAAUUGGGCAUUAUCGGGCAAGGCCAGUAUGCACAAGGAGACAUGACACACAGACACACACCCAUGAUGUAUAAAUGGCAAUAUUUUGGCUACAGCUGAACAGUCACUAUUUUAACAUCCCUUCUUCUUCCAAUUUUCAAUUCUUCUUCAAAUUACUAAUGGUUCAAUAAAAACAAAGCCCAGACUUUUGGUUUGCAAACUUGUUUUGAACUACAGAAUCUUAUCUUCAAAUAAAAUUUUAUUGCAACAUAUAAAACAGAAAAAAAAAAUCAGUUGCCCUGGUUAAGAGGAUGGAAGUCUUUUUCUUUUGUGCCGCCCACACGCCCAUCUCUUAGAAUUCUUGGGGCUCCAUGGGGCACAGCCUGAAAACCAAAACCCUAGAACAAGAGAAAGGAGACCGUCUCAUUGGUCUCCCUUCUUGAUUAAAUUACACUGACCUUGCCAGAAGAAAUUCCAUUUAGGAGUUCAUGCCGGAAAGUGACAAAUAUCAAUUCUAUCUAAUAUUGGCAAGGGAACAGGGAAGUGGGCACUCUCAACCACUGUUGCUGAGAGUAUAGGUUAGUGCAGUCAUUUUAAGGACAAUUCAUCAAAAUUUUAAAUAUAUAAUGUGUUCCAUCAGUUCCACUUCUAGAAAUUUUUCCUACGGAAAUGCUCAUAUAUCUGCACAAAAGUGUAAGUACAAGGAUGCUCAUUAUUCUUAAGACUAUAAAAUCAGAAACAACUUAAAUAGGGGAAUAGUUAAGUAUGUUACUUACCUUCAUAGAGGUAACAUAUCUUCAUAUAUGAAGACUUGUCUUCAUCCUGUAGAUUGUGGGAAUCCACUGAAGGUUUUUAAGCAAAGAAGAAUAUUAUUGUCCUGAAAAUGAAAGAGGUGUAUAGAUAGAUAAGUAGAUAGAUUUGGAAGGGUGUCCCUGAUACCCUGUAAAGUGAAAAUGCAAAUUACAAAGAACAUAGUUAAGGGAGUUCCCAUUGUGGCACAGCAGAAAUGAAUCUGACUAGUAUCCAUGAGGAUGCGGGUUUGAUCCCUGGCCUCGCUCACUGGGUCAGGAUCCAGUGUUGCCAUGAGCUGUGGUGUGGGUUGCAGACACGGCUCAGAUCUGGUGUUGCUGCAGCUGUGGCUGUGGCCAGCAGCUGCAGCUCUGAUUCAGCCCCUAUCCUGGGAACUUCCAUAUGCCAUGGGUGUGGCCCUAAAAAGCAAAAAACAAAACAAAACAAAACAAGAACAUAGUUAACAUGCUACAUAUAUAUUUUUAAAGUAAGCAGAUUAAUGGCCCCUACAUUCUAUAAAAGCUCUGUAAGUGCUUCUGAUUAUAAAGACAAAGCAAACACACAAACAAAAACUCAAGAAAUAAAUGGUUAGUCACAGGCAUUCGGGUUUACUUCUUGAGAAGGGUAAUGGAGGUGAGGGGGUAUAUAUAAAUACGUACACACACACACACGCAUAUAUAUAGUAUAAACGUUUGUGUUAUUUGAAUUGUUUACAAAAGACAUGCAUUAAUUUUUAAUUAAAAAUGCAAUGAAGACAUUGAUAAAAACAGCAACAUAAAAUAAUUUGCUUCUUUUAAGACCUGGUACAUUUCUUCUUUUCUUUUUUGUCUUUUUAGGGCUGCACCUCCAGCAUAUGGAAGUUCCCAGGCUAGGGGAACUGGAAUUGGAGCUGGAGCUGCCAGCCUACACCACAGCUGCAGCAAUGCCAGAUCCAAGCCGCAUCUGUGACCUAGGCUGGAGCUCAAGGCAACCUGGGAUCCUCAGCCCACUGAGCAAGGCAAGGGAUUAAACCCGAGUCCUCGUGGAUACUAGUCGGGUUCAUUACUGCUGAUCCAUGAUGAGAACUCCCAUUUCUUCUUUUCUAUCAAAAAAAUUCAAAUAAUGUACUUUCCUUCUUACCCUGGCUACCAGCAAAUCCAGAUUAAACUUUGCAGCAUGAACCCAGCAAUGACACUGACCUUUAAACCUAGAAUAUUUACAUUUCCUUUUUGCUUUGGUCCUGUUUUUCUACUUCCAGUUAACUUUUCCCCAAAGCUUCCCGGGCUCAUUUUUCAAAAGAGAUAGGAAUAGAUUACACAGAAAGAGACAAACUCUGAAUCCUUUACUCUGAGCAGCUCACAUUUCCUUGUUAGAAACUCUACAGGGCUGAGGAGGGAAGGAUUUGAUUUACUAUUUAUACUUUAUACUCUGAUUAUUCUCAAGUGGAAUCUGAGGACAAGAAUCGGUACUCCUGCAGCUGCAUAAAACACUCGGCUCUACUUUGGAGUUUCACUUUGUCUCUGCUCCAAAUUUAAGAGCUGCAAGGAUAGUCAGGAGGCUCUUGUGGCAAGACUUGUCUUCAUCCUGUAGAUGGUGGGAAACCACUGAGGGUUUUCAAGCAAAGAACCUGGAUUUUCACCUUGUU
Molecule: long non-coding RNA, 3790 nt
Filed under: Sus scrofa (pig)
Lineage: Eukaryota; Metazoa; Chordata; Mammalia; Artiodactyla; Suidae
Description: lncRNA (ENSSSCG00000060717.1, ENSSSCG00105007773.1, ENSSSCG00110004131.1, ENSSSCG00130002284.1)
Source: RNAcentral